Molecule: unclassified non-coding RNA, 173 nt
Filed under: soil metagenome
Description: partial internal transcribed spacer 1
Source: RNAcentral
AAGUAUUCUUCGGUGCAGCCAGCGCUUCCACAGCGCGGCAGCCCAAACCUUACACACUGUGAUUAGUUUUUUACUAUUUACUUUGGCUGCACAGUGGCCAAAGGUCUUAAACACAAAGAUUUAUAUCUUUUUUUACAAAAUUUAGUCAAUGAAGUUUAAUACUAUAAUCUUCA